GUGACCUCAAAUCAGGUAGGACUACCCGCUGAACUUAAGCAUAUCAAUAAGCGGAGGAAAAGAAACUAACAAGGAUUCCCAUAGUAACUGCGAGUGAAGCGGGAAAAGCUCAAAUUUAAAAUCUGGCAGCCUUUGGUUGUCCGAGUUGUAAUCUAGAGAAGUGUUAUCCGCGCUGGACCGUGUACAAGUCUCCUGGAAUGA
RNAcentral lists this ribosomal RNA (201 nucleotides) under uncultured Cortinarius. Its description in RNAcentral is "partial 28S ribosomal RNA". It matches the Rfam family "Eukaryotic large subunit ribosomal RNA", at positions 1 to 198 of the family's 3401-position model. The record is from RNAcentral. Lineage: Eukaryota; Fungi; Basidiomycota; Agaricomycetes; Agaricales; Cortinariaceae.